Long non-coding RNA from Triticum aestivum (bread wheat), 1648 nucleotides. RefSeq lists it as uncharacterized. Lineage: Eukaryota; Viridiplantae; Streptophyta; Magnoliopsida; Poales; Poaceae. The transcript has 4 exons. The record is from RefSeq and is a predicted model, not a curated record.
CCGUACGCUACUACAACUUCGUCAAUGCCUAGCCACCCCAAAUCCCCUCCUAUCGACCACGGCGCCGCCACCGACGCCGGCCGUCUCAUGUGCCCCCUCCACGCCGACCCCGCCGUGCUCCUCUUCUCCGCGAAUGCCGCCGUUAGCCUUCGCAUCUCCCGAGCCACUGUUUCUCUCAAAGGAGUACACCCAUGCCACGGAGGUCGGAUCGGGCAGCAGCAACUCGAGGAGGACGACAGCACCAGGAUCUCGGGGAGGUGAGCUCGAGGGCAUUACCCAUCUCCUCCAUGUCCAACCCCCAAACUCCGGCGCCCCAACUCCCACACCGCCCGCGAGUCAAAUCCCUGCGCGCCGCCGACGGAAACUCCCCCUGCAUCUCGCGCCGCCACGACUAACCACCUGUGCGCCGAACCAAAUCGCCGCCGGUAGCGCCGCUCUGUCGACGCGACUCCCUCGAGCUCCCUCCCGGCCGUGUCCUUCCAGAUAGGCACAUCGUCCUCCCGCCGCGGCAGCGGUGCAACGACACGAGGUGUGGGGGGGAAGGGAGAUACAGGUGGAGGAGGGCGGUGGCGGUUAGCGUUGUUGGGAGCUCGAUCUUGAAGUGGGCCUUGACAGUGGCAAGCUGGGAGCUGGCGAGGUAGAUGUCGUCGUCGACAAGGGCCGUGAGCUCAUCUCCUUUGGCCCCAAGUCCGACUACCACCACAACCUGACAUGCUCCUCCAUAGGCCUUGGAUUACUGUUAGCUACCAGAUGAAGUUCGGAGAAAGGAGCUAAGACAUGACUCACCAGGUCUGCUCUAUAUUGUACCAUACAGUUCAUAUUUUGGUAGUCUUGCUUCUUCGGAAAUUUCUGAAAUUCAAAGUUACCCUCGAAGUGGUAGAGAAUGAACAGAACUAGAGCAUGGGCCAUUGUCAGCUUCUGUGUUGGUAGGGCGAUUCUUAGGCGCACCAAGAUACUGGUCCUGGACGAAGCCACUGCUUCGGUGACAGUGCAACCAAUAACCUGAUCCAGAACACACCACAACAUCAUUUCUCAGGGUCAACUGUCAUCACGACCGUGCAUCGAAUCACCUCGAUCCUCGACAACAAUAUAGUCUAGAUUCUUGACAAUGUUGCAGGCCUUGCUGGAGUCUGGAGCCACCAAGGCCAGCCAAGUUGUUGGAAGACAAUUUUUCUCUGUUCUCAAAGCUUGUGGUGGAAUCCAUUAUGAGGUUGAUACACACUUGAGCCAACAUCACAAAUGUUAUCAAAAUGAAAGUUUACCUUAUCCAAAUUGUGGUAUGCAAAUAUUAGAAAGGUACUACGCCUCUCUGAUUCAUCGGAUGUGCUAUAGAAGCUGGCAUGUAAUAUGUGAAAUUUGAAUAGCUAGGCGCACUACUGGGCAUUGAAGGACGUGCUGGCUCUUGACUUAUUUCUGCAGUCGGCGGCACACCAUGAACUAACUGGAGGAGCUAAACUGGAUUUGUAGGCUUCUGCAAAGUGCUAGCACCUAGAGAUGAUCUGGAUUUUCCUCUUGUAAAUGUCAUGAGGCAUGAGCCACAACCUCUUCAUAGAACAUUAAAACAAAACAUUGAUCCCCAUGUGGGUACACAAACAUUGUCCUUAUGAUUUAUUUUUCCUUUGGAUGAUUGUGGACCAUGUUUUUUUCA